This 443-nucleotide long non-coding RNA is filed under the name Phoenix dactylifera (date palm). RNAcentral describes it as "long non-coding RNA (PDAC_LNC003322)". The record is from RNAcentral. Lineage: Eukaryota; Viridiplantae; Streptophyta; Magnoliopsida; Arecales; Arecaceae.
CGGCGGGGGUCCGUCCAUAAACUGGAUCCUUCGACUUCAGCAACAGAGGCAAAGUCAGCCCUGCUCUGAUACCAAAGCUGACGCAGGACGGAUGUAGGGAUUGGAAUGCAGAGAGAAAGAGGAGAGAAAGAGGGGAAGAAGAAGAGAAAGAGGAGAGGAGAGGAGGAAGAAGAAGAUUAAUUUUCAUGCAAUCAUUCAUUAAAAAAAAUAACAAAUGCAUGCCCUAUAUAUAUAUAGGGCUACCAAGUAACAAAUAAGUCCCAAAUAAAAAAACAAUUCGAAAGAGGUCCUCACAAGACAAUAUGCAAACUAAUCCUAUCAAAAUAAAUAAUAAUAAAAGAAAAACAUCAAUCAAUCCAGCCACAAUGAAAGUGGCUGGACCGUCUUCCUGCGACGACCAUAAUCCCGCAAAAUAAUCAGUCCAGUAUUCGUGUCCGCACCAG